CCCAGUCACUCAGCGGUUCCAUGGCCUGUGACCCCGCUGUCCCCACACCUCCCUGUUUUCCCUCAUCUUGGGGUCCUGGUGUCCAAGGAAGAGGGGCCAGUCCAGCCCCAGUUCAGCCAAGGGGCCGGAGUGGGAACAGGGACAAUUCUGCUCAGCCACGCUGGGUUUGGGGCCGGGCUCCGCUCUGGGCUGUCCCACAGGGAAAGCUCUGGGAGGGAAGGGGCAGCAGGAGAUGGGGGAUCUGGCUCUGGGGGCUGUGGGAGGAUGGAUUGUGUUGCACUGGGGGCUGUCCCCACAGGGUCCCCAGGUGCCUUUGGCUCCCUGCCUGCCCCCCUGGCCCCCCAGGUGCCUGGGCCCCUCCAGGGGCAGCUGCCCCGGGCAGGAAGCUGGAGGGAUGCCGGGCAAGGGGGCUGGACCCGUGCCACAGCCUCACCCAGCGCUGCCCAGAGCCAGAGGAAGAUGAAGGUGGCUGUGCUCAGCGUGGCCCUGCUCUUCUCCAUCCUGCUGUGCCUCCCAGCAGGGGCUCAGGGUAGGAUAAGAUGUUUUCUGGACCCGAGACGGGGCGUGGUUUGCAACAACGACUUCGGCUCCGGUGGAGGGUUCUCUCACCACGGCCACCCCAUAUUUGGGCUCGGCAAGUUCUUCCGUUCUCGUGGUAAGUACUGGAGUUUUGGGGGAACUGGGAACCAGUUUUUGGGGGAACUGUGGCAACUGGGAACCAGUUUGUCCAGCCCAUCCCUUACUGGGGCCGGAGACACACUGGUGAUGUGUCACCAUCUCUCUGCAGAGGAGAGCCACAGUCGGGAAGAGCAAGGUAAGAACUGGGAAUUGUGGGGCCAGACCCCGUGAUGGCUAUCACUCAUCCCAGUGCACCCAGUAAAUCCCAGUGCACCCCAGGGAAUCCCCUCCAUUGUAUUCCCACCCAUCUUAGUACACCCCAGUAAAUCCCAGUGCUUCCUAUAGUCCCCCAUUGUAUUCCCACUUAUCCCAGUGCCCCCCAGUUGUUCCCAGUGAGACCCUCAUUGUAUUCCCAGUUAUACCAGUGCCCACCAGUAACCCCCACAGUGCAUCACUCCCCGUCUACUCCUUGCCCUCUUUCCCCCCUUGCCCAUUCCUAUUGCCCA
Taeniopygia guttata (zebra finch) is the source of this 1124-nucleotide long non-coding RNA. The record is from Ensembl. Lineage: Eukaryota; Metazoa; Chordata; Aves; Passeriformes; Estrildidae.